Molecule: ribosomal RNA, 510 nt
Filed under: uncultured bacterium
Lineage: Bacteria
Description: partial 16S ribosomal RNA
Rfam family: Bacterial small subunit ribosomal RNA
Source: RNAcentral
GACGAACGCUGGCGGCGUGCUUAACACAUGCAAGUCGAACGAAGAGCGAUGGAAGCUUGCUUCUCUCAAUCUUAGUGGCGAACGGGUGAGUAACGCGUAAUCAACCUGCCCUUCAGAGGGGGACAACAGUUGGAAACGACUGCUAAUACCGCAUACGAUCUAAUCUCGGCAUCGAGGAAAGAUGAAAGGUGGCCUCUAUUUAUAAGCUAUCACUGAAGGAGGGGAUUGCGUCUGAUUAGCUAGUUGGAGGGGUAACGGCCCACCAAGGCGAUGAUCAGUAGCCGGUCUGAGAGGAUGGACGGCCACAUUGGGACUGAGACACGGCCCAGACUCCUACGGGAGGCAGCAGUGGGGAAUCUUCCGCAAUGGACGAAAGUCUGACGGAGCAACGCCGCGUGAGUGAUGACGGCCUUCGGGUUGUAAAGCUCUGUUAAUCGGGACGAAAGGCCUUCUUGCGAACAGUUAGAAGGAUUGACGGUACCGGAAUAGAAAGCCACGGCUAACUACGUG